Molecule: ribosomal RNA, 514 nt
Filed under: Microbacterium aquimaris
Lineage: Bacteria; Bacillati; Actinomycetota; Actinomycetes; Micrococcales; Microbacteriaceae
Description: bacterial SSU rRNA
Rfam family: Bacterial small subunit ribosomal RNA
Source: RNAcentral
AGCCUGAUGCAGCACGCCGCGUGAGGGAUGACGGCCUUCGGGUUGUAAACCUCUUUUGGUAGGGAAGAAGCCUUCGGGUGACGGUACCUGCAGAAAAAGCGCCGGCUAACUACGUGCCAGCAGCCGCGGUAAUACGUAGGGCGCAAGCGUUAUCCGGAAUUAUUGGGCGUAAAGAGCUCGUAGGCGGUCUGUCGCGUCUGCUGUGAAAUUCCGAGGCUCAACCUCGGGCUUGCAGUGGGUACGGGCAGACUAGAGUGCGGUAGGGGAGAUUGGAAUUCCUGGUGUAGCGGUGGAAUGCGCAGAUAUCAGGAGGAACACCGAUGGCGAAGGCAGAUCUCUGGGCCGUUACUGACGCUGAGGAGCGAAAGGGUGGGGAGCAAACAGGCUUAGAUACCCUGGUAGUCCACCCCGUAAACGUUGGGAACUAGUUGUGGGGUCCUUUCCACGGAUUCCGUGACGUAGCUAACGCAUUAAGUUCCCCGCCUGGGGAGUACGGCCGCAAGGCUAAAACUCA